Molecule: ribosomal RNA, 484 nt
Filed under: uncultured bacterium
Lineage: Bacteria
Description: partial 16S ribosomal RNA
Rfam family: Bacterial small subunit ribosomal RNA
Source: RNAcentral
GAUGAACGCUGGCGGCGUGCUUAACACAUGCAAGUCGAACGGUGAAGCAGGAGCUUGCUCCUGUGGAUCAGUGGCGAACGGGUGAGUAACACGUGAGCAAUCUGCCCUGGACUCUGGGAUAAGCGUUGGAAACGACGUCUAAUACCGGAUACGAGGCGUGGGGGCAUCCCCAACGCCUGGAAAGAACUUCGGUCCAGGAUGAGCUCGCGGCCUAUCAGCUAGUUGGUGAGGUAACGGCUCACCAAGGCGACGACGGGUAGCCGGCCUGAGAGGGUGACCGGCCACACUGGGACUGAGACACGGCCCAGACUCCUACGGGAGGCAGCAGUGGGGAAUAUUGCACAAUGGGCGCAAGCCUGAUGCAGCAACGCCGCGUGAGGGACGACGGCCUUCGGGUUGUAAACCUCUUUUAGCAGGGAAGAAGCGAAAGUGACGGUACCUGCAGAAGAAGCACCGGCUAACUACGUGCCAGCAGCCGCGGUAA